UACGAAGGGGGCUAGCGUUGCUCGGAAUCACUGGGCGUAAAGGGUGCGUAGGCGGGUCUUUAAGUCAGGGGUGAAAUCCUGGAGCUCAACUCCAGAACUGCCUUUGAUACUGAAGAUCUUGAGUUCGGGAGAGGUGAGUGGAACUGCGAGUGUAGCGGUGAAAUGCGUAGAUAUUGGGAGGAACACCAGUGGCGAAGGCGGCUACCUGGACCGGUUCUGACGCUGAGGCGCGAAAGCUAGGGGAGCAAACGGG
Molecule: ribosomal RNA, 253 nt
Filed under: uncultured bacterium
Lineage: Bacteria
Description: partial 16S ribosomal RNA
Rfam family: Bacterial small subunit ribosomal RNA
Source: RNAcentral